CGUGGGCAAUCUGCCCUUCACUCUGGGACAAGCCCUGGAAACGGGGUCUAAUACCGGAUAACACUCUGUCCCGCAUGGGACGGGGUUGAAAGCUCCGGCGGUGAAGGAUGAGCCCGCGGCCUAUCAGCUUGUUGGUGGGGUAAUGGCCUACCAAGGCGACGACGGGUAGCCGGCCUGAGAGGGCGACCGGCCACACUGGGACUGAGACACGGCCCAGACUCCUACGGGAGGCAGCAGUGGGGAAUAUUGCACAAUGGGCGAAAGCCUGAUGCAGCGACGCCGCGUGAGGGAUGACGGCCUUCGGGUUGUAAACCUCUUUCAGCAGGGAAGAAGCGAAAGUGACGGUACCUGCAGAAGAAGCGCCGGCUAACUACGUGCCAGCAGCCGCGGUAAUACGUAGGGCGCAAGCGUUGUCCGGAAUUAUUGGGCGUAAAGAGCUCGUAGGCGGCUUGUCACGUCGGAUGUGAAAGCCCGGGGCUUAACCCCGGGUCUGCAUUCGAUACGGGCUAGCUAGAGUGUGGUAGGGGAGAUCGGAAUUCCUGGUGUAGCGGUGAAAUGCGCAGAUAUCAGGAGGAACACCGGUGGCGAAGGCGGAUCUCUGGGCCAUUACUGACGCUGAGGAGCGAAAGCGUGGGGAGCGAACAGGAUUAGAUACCCUG
This 659-nucleotide ribosomal RNA is filed under the name Streptomyces sp. 12CM13. RNAcentral describes it as "bacterial SSU rRNA". It matches the Rfam family "Bacterial small subunit ribosomal RNA", at positions 116 to 789 of the family's 1533-position model. The record is from RNAcentral. Lineage: Bacteria; Bacillati; Actinomycetota; Actinomycetes; Kitasatosporales; Streptomycetaceae.